GUUCACAGAAGAGGUGGCACUUGAACUUGGCUUUGAAUAUGAGCAAAUCUGGAUAUGUAGAAACAGGAGAUGUGGAGUGACAGGAUAAACAGUAUCAUCAAUGAACAGGGGGAGAGAUUACAGUCCCCAAAGCAAGACAGAGCCCAGGAUCUUGGACUCAAGGUCAGAAAAGGGUUAUCCUUUUCUGAUUGAAGGUUUCAAUUAAGGAGAAUUUCACUGCUAUAGCUCAAAGAAAAUUAACUUGGAAAUGUGAUAUGCCAUGAAAAGAAACUCAAAUGACAUUAGAAAGAGAGAAGUAAUCAUCUCAUCAGAAGCUAUAAUAAUGCAAGGUACCAUUUGGAUUCUCAUGGCACGCCUACCCAUUAGACAGGCCCUCUCUGUACUGAUGAUGGCAUACAUUAAUUCACAUAUGGAAUUCAAUAAGUGACCAAGCCAGAGCAUGACACAUCUUUUGGAAAUUAUGCCUCGAUGCAUGAUGUGGCCAUCACUUUGUUCAGCCUCAUGACUCAGCUUGCAGUUCUGCACAACGGAAUAAACCACCACAGCACUACAAUCUGUUUGUAGUAGAGGGGGCACAUGGACAACCAUUCUGGCAGAAGCUUUCUGUUCUCCAGCAUCUGUCAUGCUGGAGGAGAGUGCACCAAUGAUUUUGGCAUACACCAAGGAUAGCAAAUUGGUUUCGUUUUAGGAGCCUACUCUGAUGGAAAAAUAAAGAAUUCAAAAAGCUCUAUCUUGAAAAAGACAAGAACUGGGUUGAUGAAGAAAAUGCAGCAUUUAUCAGAGCUAUCUGACAUAGGAAGUGGAGAAUGGUGGUACAUCUGCCAAGUUAACGGCAAUAACUUUAUUCCAGGGGUGAAACGAAGUCUUCAGAUAUUUACUAAUGUAUCAAGGCAAAUUGGAGAUUUUGAGUCAACAGGAAAAGUUGAUUCUUGAUGGAUCUCUCUAUUAAAAGAAGACAAUGAUCCAUAAGAAACUAUAUUGUCAGUGCUUUUCUCUGUCAUUUGUCCAGAAUUAAACUUCCACAAAUGUGUAAAUAA
Molecule: long non-coding RNA, 1037 nt
Organism: Pan troglodytes (chimpanzee)
Lineage: Eukaryota; Metazoa; Chordata; Mammalia; Primates; Hominidae
Exons: 5
Source: RefSeq, a predicted model, not a curated record